Symphalangus syndactylus (siamang) is the source of this 1048-nucleotide long non-coding RNA. RefSeq lists it as uncharacterized. The record is from RefSeq and is a predicted model, not a curated record. Lineage: Eukaryota; Metazoa; Chordata; Mammalia; Primates; Hylobatidae.
CCACCAUCUUGGGAGCUCUGGGAGCAAGGACCCCUGGUAACAUUUUGGCGACCACGAAGGGACAUCCAAAGCAGCCAUCGUAGACAAUUUAUCCUAUUACCCCAGAAGCGACUGAGAUGGUGGAAAUUAAUGAUUAGGUAAACACAAGUUUGUGACUUAUAUUAUUGACCUGUCUGAAGGACUCCUUUUAACAUUUCUUAUAGCACAGGAUUCCUAAUAGAUCUAAUAUCGGUCAGUAGUGGAAGAAUAUUCAACUGUACCUAGGAAAAUGCAAGUAACUUCUCCAGUUAGAAAAUGGAACAUUGUCUGCCUUGUGAGUAAAAAAAUGUUGAAUUUCACUCUAGAAAAAAAGAGACAGAGCAGGGAUGAGACAUUUAGAAUGGCAGAGUGAGAACCUCCAGCAGUACACUGAUAAAACCAACAAAAAUAUUGGCAACAAACUGUCAAAGUCAAGAUUUUUGGAACUCUGGAAAUUAACCAAAGUACUAAAACAACAAGAAGAAUGUUUCUUUGAGAAAAUCUGAGAACUUUAACAAGAACAUCAGGACAGGAUUAAUAGUCAUAUAACAUGACCUACUCCAUUGCUUUCUUCCUACCUCUGCAGUGGCCUUGAAAUCUGGCAAAGUCACAAUCACAGUAACUCAGAAAACAGCCUUUUAGCUACAGCUAAGGGCAAACCAUAUUUGGAGUUUUUCAAAAACGUCCCAAAGCUAGAGCUGGUUCACUCUUUGACUUGCCUGUUACCUCCCUAGAGAAGCACUGGUUGCAGGAUGUUGCCAUUAUUUGAUCUAACUCAGAGCUCACAUCAAGAGAGAAGCCCUGUCUCUAGGGCAUUUUUUGAAAACAAUCAAUGAAAACUCUUUUCACAUCACAAUUGCCUAAAGUUCUGACAUAUGUUGGGUCAAAAAAGGAGAUGGACAAAACUUUAAAAGGAAAAUCUGGGAAAAGAGAUAUCCACAUGGAUUUUUGAAAAGCUCUAGAAGACCUUGUAAGGGCAAAGGUGUGCUCACUCCCCAAAAUAACUGAAAUAGCCACAGACUCUCACCUC